Sorghum bicolor (sorghum) is the source of this 655-nucleotide long non-coding RNA. RefSeq lists it as uncharacterized. Lineage: Eukaryota; Viridiplantae; Streptophyta; Magnoliopsida; Poales; Poaceae. The transcript has 2 exons. The record is from RefSeq and is a predicted model, not a curated record.
UAUACGGUCAUCAUCCAGCCCCGUCGCCGCUCAGCCAUCGGGAGAUCCGAAAUUAGCGGAUUUCGUCACCGCCGUCCUCAUGCUUUCUUGCUUCGCCACCGCCAAGGUCGCUCCUGGAGCCGUCUCCCUCCUCCAUCCUCUCAACCAGCACGGACGACGCCGGCGUAGCCCGCCCAAUGGUGAUGGCCCCCCAUGGUCGAGAGGCCCACCCAACAACAAGCCGACUAUGACAUCCCCUAGCGGCGGCGACCAGGAAAAUCGUGAGGAACACAGAUCCAGCUUGUAGAUCCGGCACAGUUGAUUCCAUUAAUCUAGCUGUUAUCGCAUUGAGGCGUUUCUGUCCCUUCUAAAGUUCUGGUGGCGGCGGGCUUUGCUUCUCAUACUUGUCGUCGACAAAUAUGCAUAUUACCGGUUUGUAAUAUUGUUUUUUCCCUUGCGUCAGAACUCAUGGAUAUGAUUUUAUCUAUUCCGUUCUAGGCUAUAGUUCUACCUGGAGAAGAUCACUUGGCAAAUAUACUGUUUUUAGAUUAGAGUAUCACCUGAUACCUAGAUUCGUGAAUGUAACAUUACUUUCAGACAGAUAAAUCUUAUUCGUAAAUGUAACAUUACUUCUCAGACAGAUAAAUAUUUCAAGGUGUUUGAUGCUUCGAGAGAA